CAAGAAUCUCAUCAAAAUGACCCACAACAGCCCAAAUUAGCUAGAUCAAAUUUUAUCACUCUCAAAGUGAACCAAAAACAGAGUAAAUUAUAAAUUUAAGAAAGAAGACCCCUACAUAUCCAAAAGAAAUAUUAAAACUUAAGAGAAUCUAAAGGGGGAGAUAUAACAAAUUUCAAUCUGAUAAAAACUCAAUAGGUUAAUAAAGCAAAUCAAGAACACCCACAUUGUCAAACAAAAAAAAUCAGCAAAAACCAAGCCACAAAUCAAAUUCAAAUAAUUUCCAGAAAACAAGUGGAUUUCCAGAAGUUUCUGAAUCAUCAAUAUUUGGAAAACCAGUGACUGACUUUCAUCAAUAUUGAAAUUUCCUAUCCAAUAUCUCAACUUUAUAUUUAAUCCCAGCAAUUAAACCCAUCAAUUGUGGAUUUAAUCAUAUCCCAUCAGUUUUCAAAGGUAAAAACAAAAUGGGCAUGGGAACUCUUCCCUAAUGUCAUCAUCUGCAUCAAUUUCUUCAAAACCCACGAGCAUAUCUGCAUCAAAAUCAUCCAUAUCAUUUCAGAUAAACGAAUUCACAUAUAAACAUGACUACAAAAACCUAGAUUUAAUAAAAACAGAUUUUAGGGCUUGGUGAGAGAAAAUAGAAGAAGAAAUUCGAGAUUUGGUAUAGCAAGAGAUAAGAGUGAGAAUUAAUUUGGAGACUACUUUGAUUUUAGAAGAAAAUUGAAAAGGCGGUUUUGUGCCGCCUCACUAUCUCUCAUGGAUUACGAAUUGGGUUACGAAUUAGUGCAGAGAUUAGAGCAGGUCGUGAAGCAGCUCGCGUGGAGGAAUUCUUUCCUUUAGAGAUAACAUAUACAGUACAAAAAUCUGGUACCCCUUUCAACACAUUUCCUGGAAUAUCUUUUGCUUUAAAUCUUCUGUGAGGAAAUAUUAGCGAACUUAGAACUCGGGGAUUUGCUUGGAAUCGUCCGGGAAGUGGGUCCUUCACGCUGUCAGCCCAGAGUGAACAUCUUCCGGGAAUCAACCGAAACAACAUCUUCAUCCUCAGAGUGAACGAACCCAGUUGAAGAAAUCGGGCGAGACUGUUGGUGGGUUUGAAGGUUCAAGGAAGAAUAAGAGGAGAAGAGAGGAAGAAAAAG
RNAcentral lists this long non-coding RNA (1133 nucleotides) under Panax ginseng (ginseng). Its description in RNAcentral is "long non-coding RNA (PGIN_LNC010569)". The record is from RNAcentral. Lineage: Eukaryota; Viridiplantae; Streptophyta; Magnoliopsida; Apiales; Araliaceae.